CACGUAGGGGGCGAGCGUUGUCCGGAUUUAUUGGGCGUAAAGAGCUCGUAGGCGGCUCGGUAAGUCAGGUGUGAAAACUCUAGGCUCAACCUAGAGACGCCACCUGAUACUGCUGUGGCUAGAGUCCGGUAGGGGAGCAUGGAAUUCCUGGUGUAGCGGUGAAAUGCGCAGGUAUCAGGAGGAACACCAGUGGCGAAGGCGGUGCUCUGGGCCGGAACUGACGCUGAGGAGCGAAAGCGUGGGGAGCAAACAGG
Molecule: ribosomal RNA, 254 nt
Filed under: uncultured bacterium
Lineage: Bacteria
Description: partial 16S ribosomal RNA
Rfam family: Bacterial small subunit ribosomal RNA
Source: RNAcentral